GGAGAGAUGGCCGAGUGGUUCAAGG
RNAcentral lists this transfer RNA (25 nucleotides) under Glycine tomentella. Its description in RNAcentral is "partial tRNA-Ser". The record is from RNAcentral. Lineage: Eukaryota; Viridiplantae; Streptophyta; Magnoliopsida; Fabales; Fabaceae.